Molecule: ribosomal RNA, 427 nt
Filed under: Klebsiella pneumoniae subsp. pneumoniae KPNIH22
Lineage: Bacteria; Pseudomonadati; Pseudomonadota; Gammaproteobacteria; Enterobacterales; Enterobacteriaceae
Description: bacterial LSU rRNA
Rfam family: Bacterial large subunit ribosomal RNA
Source: RNAcentral
GACGGGCGGUGUUUGGCACCUCGAUGUCGGCUCAUCACAUCCUGGGGCUGAAGUAGGUCCCAAGGGUAUGGCUGUUCGCCAUUUAAAGUGGUACGCGAGCUGGGUUUAGAACGUCGUGAGACAGUUCGGUCCCUAUCUGCCGUGGGCGCUGGAGAAUUGAGGGGGGCUGCUCCUAGUACGAGAGGACCGGAGUGGACGCAUCACUGGUGUUCGGGUUGUCAUGCCAAUGGCACUGCCCGGUAGCUAAAUGCGGAAGAGAUAAGUGCUGAAAGCAUCUAAGCACGAAACUUGCCCCGAGAUGAGUUCUCCCUGAGACUUUAAGUCUCCUGAAGGAACGUUGAAGACGACGACGUUGAUAGGCCGGGUGUGUAAGCGCAGCGAUGCGUUGAGCUAACCGGUACUAAUGAACCGUGAGGCUUAACCUUAC